Molecule: ribosomal RNA, 252 nt
Filed under: uncultured Actinomycetales bacterium
Lineage: Bacteria; Bacillati; Actinomycetota; Actinomycetes; Actinomycetales
Description: partial 16S ribosomal RNA
Rfam family: Bacterial small subunit ribosomal RNA
Source: RNAcentral
CUUGCAGGGUACUCGAGUGGCGAACGGGUGAGUAACACGUUGGUGAUCUGCCCUGCACUUCGGGAUAAGCUUGGGAAACUGGGUCUAAUACCGGAUAGGAACCAUCUUUAGUGUGGUGGUUGGAAAGUUUUUUCGGUGUAGGAUGAGCUCGCGGCCUAUCAGCUUGUUGGUGGGGUAAUGGCCUACCAAGGUGGCGACGGGUAGCCGGCCUGAGGGGGUGUACGGCCACAUUGGGACUGAGAUACGGCCCAG